UACGUAGGGCGCAAGCGUUGUCCGGAAUUAUUGGGCGUAAAGAGCUCGUAGGUGGUUUGUUACGUCUGCUGUGAAAACCUAGGGCUUAACCCUGGGCCUGCAGUGGAUACGGGCAGACUAGAGGUAGGUAGGGGAGAAUGGAAUUCCCGGUGUAGCGGUGAAAUGCGCAGAUAUAGGGAGGAACACCGGUGGCGAAGGCGGCCGGACUGGGGCGCCCUGGACGCUGAGGCGCGAGAGCGUGGGGAGCA
Molecule: ribosomal RNA, 248 nt
Filed under: uncultured bacterium
Lineage: Bacteria
Description: partial 16S ribosomal RNA
Rfam family: Bacterial small subunit ribosomal RNA
Source: RNAcentral